ACCAGGAUGGCCGAGUGGUUAAGGCGUUGGACUUAAGUUCCAAUGUGCGAUUGCACGCGUGGGUUCGAACCCCACUCCUGGUA
Molecule: transfer RNA, 83 nt
Filed under: Dendronephthya gigantea
Lineage: Eukaryota; Metazoa; Cnidaria; Anthozoa; Malacalcyonacea; Nephtheidae
Also listed under: 1 other name
Description: tRNA-Leu
Rfam family: tRNA
About the family: Transfer RNA (tRNA) molecules are approximately 80 nucleotides in length. Their secondary structure includes four short double-helical elements and three loops (D, anti-codon, and T loops).
Source: RNAcentral